Molecule: ribosomal RNA, 422 nt
Filed under: uncultured bacterium
Lineage: Bacteria
Description: bacterial SSU rRNA
Rfam family: Bacterial small subunit ribosomal RNA
Source: RNAcentral
UGAGGAAUAUUGGUCAAUGGGCGCAAGCCUGAACCAGCCAUGCCGCGUGCAGGAUGAAGCAUCUAUGGUGUGUAAACUGCUUUUGUACGGGAAGAAACCACCCCUCGUGAGGGGUAUUGACGGUACCGUAAGAAUAAGGAUCGGCUAACUCCGUGCCAGCAGCCGCGGUAAUACGGAGGAUCCAAGCGUUAUCCGGAAUCAUUGGGUUUAAAGGGAGCGUAGGUGGCCUUAUAAGUCAGUGGUGAAAUCUCUGGGCUUAACCCAGAAAUUGCCAUUGAUACUGCAGGUCUUGAAUUAUUGGGAAGUAACUAGAAUAUGUAGUGUAGCGGUGAAAUGCUUAGAGAUUACAUGGAAUACCGAUUGCGAAGGCAGGUUACUACCAAUGGAUUGACGCUGAUGGACGAAAGCGUGGGUAGCGAACA